Long non-coding RNA from Egretta garzetta (little egret), 1678 nucleotides. RefSeq lists it as uncharacterized. The record is from RefSeq and is a predicted model, not a curated record. Lineage: Eukaryota; Metazoa; Chordata; Aves; Pelecaniformes; Ardeidae. The transcript is spliced from 3 exons.
ACAGCAGAGCAAACUCGGUCUCUCCUACUGCCUUGCCUGUUUUUAAGUCUCAGGCUGCAACUCAAUCGUUAGGCAGGCGCUUGAUAGUCUCUUCCCACGGUUUCCAUAGGAUAAACGCUCCAACAGUUGAAAGAGAGAAUCCCAACGUGUUGCAACAUUAAAAAAAAAAAAUGUGCAGGAUGUUCCCAGACAUUACUCUGGAUGCGCAGAAACAGUAAAGAAGACAGUUCAGAAACAUUAUGAGGCAACACAAGCAUGAUUCUGCUGCGAGGAGGCUUGCUCCGGAGUCAGCCCAACACAGGCAACACGCGCUCGAACCGACUGUGUCAGGUACUGAAUGAAACAGCAGCAGUUAGACGCCAGCCACCCAGGUCUCUCUGUCUAAACCAGAGCGGAGAAUCGGCCUGCUGGAUGCAACAGCUUGCGGUGCCUUGUGGCAGGGCUAAUCCAAACGCGGCAACUUAAGAAAUGUGGUGAAGUCUCAGCGAACGUGUUCUUAUUUGUGGCAAGACCCGAAGAGAACACCACAAUUGCUCUGAAUAUCUAAAGACAAAACCCAAACCAACUGCUAGGCAUCUGAUUUACACAGUUUCGUAAAAGCAAAUAUAUACACGUAUUUAUGAAACGGCUAUCCCCCUUCUGAAAAGUCACAAUGGAGAUGCUGAAUGCCCACCACUUCUGAAAAGAGAAAGCAAUAGCUAAAGCAGGCUGUAUCAAUGUACUAUUUUUUUUAAAAGUCUUCACAGCAAUUGCACAUAAACUAUUGUACAGGAGAGAUGACCAGUCCUUCCACAGGAGUGCAAAACUUUAAAAUAUUCAAGCAUUCUUCAAGGACAAAAUACUCAUUCCUAAGGAAAACUAGGGUUUUGUUUUGGGGUCCCCUCCCUUCACAUUUAGUGAGUAGUGAGAGAUUUUAUGCUGCUGAAUUGUGAAAACAGAGCUGGCAGGGGUUUUUAACUAUAGUAACCAAAAGUAUAAUGUAAAUUCUUUCUUCAGAGAAAAAUACCAUGACAAAAAGCAUUCAACAAAGGAAAAGCUUGCUCAGUUGCUCAAAAGGUUACAACAGCUUUUGCAUCCCUUACACAAAGGCACUUAUCAACACAUUUUAGGAAUGGAGCAUACCAUCAUUACUAUUCAAAACAUAUAUUGCAACAGUGCUUUGGAGCCAUACUAGAGCUCAGAUCUCAUUCAUAUCUUGCCAGGGACAAAAGAAAGAAUACAAGCAUAUGAAGUUUAAGAACUAUACAUGACUUCAAGGCCAAGCCGAAGUUCUGACCCUAUACAUUAAUGAGGUGCUCACAGAAAGGUAACAAGUCGGAAGGAAAACUUCAUUCACCGAACUUUGCGAACACCCACUUUUCCACCUUAUUUUUCCUCAAUCUGCCACAAUACUUUCCCUAGCUGUUCAGCCUAUAAAUAAUCCAUUGCUAUGCCUCCACUUCUUCAAUCUCCUCAGAUGCCCUUUCCAAAGUGGAGAAAGAUGAAGCGUUCUAGCUGCCUUUUAAGAAAGCUGUUCCGUGAACAGCAAAGCUGAAAGCUCAUUUCCUCUGAAUCUCCAUCAGACAUCACCGAACCUCUACUUUACUGCAUUAAUCCCAGCUUCCUGCGCAUCCAGUUCUCCUUUGAUGCCAAGGCUCUACCAGUAUAUUGAGCCCUAUGUUUUUCACCUCUUUCGGUA